RNAcentral lists this long non-coding RNA (692 nucleotides) under Capsicum annuum. Its description in RNAcentral is "long non-coding RNA (CANN_LNC008377)". The record is from RNAcentral. Lineage: Eukaryota; Viridiplantae; Streptophyta; Magnoliopsida; Solanales; Solanaceae.
UGAGCGACUUCGAAGUGGGCUCCUUUCACUUGACUAUUUCUCUUUUUUAGGAGGGAGAGACUGAAUCCACCUAAAAGCUAAGGGAAGCCUGGAAGUAUUCAAAGGCUGAUAAAAAGAGACGUGUACUACGAGACCACCAAGACUGAUAGGUCGGCGGGAUCAGCCAGUGUCCCCGUGUGUAAGGCCCUUUCCUGAAAGAGGUCGAAUAGUUCCUGUCCCAUUCAUACUACUGUUGGCUUCUGUGCUAUGUCUAGCGGCUGGUGAAUCCUACCCAGUAUCGGAAUUGGAUUUGAUAUUUCCUCGGUUUACGAAAAGGGUUUUAAUGGCGACCGGACAGAUGCGGCAUUACCGCAGUUGUAUGUACUUGUAUUUCUUUUCUGCUGUUAGCAUGCUUUGAAAAGAGAAAAGGUCAGUGCUUCUCCUGUGAGCGACUUCGAAGUGGGCUCCUUUCACUUGACUAUUUCUCUUUUUUAGGAGGGAGAGACUGAAUCCACCUAAAAGCUAAGGGAAGCCUGGAAGUAUUCAAAGGCUGAUAAAAAGAGACGUGUACUACGAGACCACCAAGACUGAUAGGUAUUCUGACCAAAAGGGGCAAGUUUUCUUAUAGGAUCUACCCUCCCAACAAAAAAAAGAAUUCCUUGCUGUGGAAAAGCUGUUCAAGUUGAAAAGCAUAAAGGUUGAAGGAAAUGCAG